RNAcentral lists this ribosomal RNA (479 nucleotides) under Escherichia coli. RNAcentral describes it as "bacterial SSU rRNA". It matches the Rfam family "Bacterial small subunit ribosomal RNA", at positions 1047 to 1526 of the family's 1533-position model. The record is from RNAcentral. Lineage: Bacteria; Pseudomonadati; Pseudomonadota; Gammaproteobacteria; Enterobacterales; Enterobacteriaceae. RNAcentral also lists the same sequence under 1 other name.
GGCUGUCGUCAGCUCGUGUUGUGAAAUGUUGGGUUAAGUCCCGCAACGAGCGCAACCCUUAUCCUUUGUUGCCAGCGGUCCGGCCGGGAACUCAAAGGAGACUGCCAGUGAUAAACUGGAGGAAGGUGGGGAUGACGUCAAGUCAUCAUGGCCCUUACGACCAGGGCUACACACGUGCUACAAUGGCGCAUACAAAGAGAAGCGACCUCGCGAGAGCAAGCGGACCUCAUAAAGUGCGUCGUAGUCCGGAUUGGAGUCUGCAACUCGACUCCAUGAAGUCGGAAUCGCUAGUAAUCGUGGAUCAGAAUGCCACGGUGAAUACGUUCCCGGGCCUUGUACACACCGCCCGUCACACCAUGGGAGUGGGUUGCAAAAGAAGUAGGUAGCUUAACCUUCGGGAGGGCGCUUACCACUUUGUGAUUCAUGACUGGGGUGAAGUCGUAACAAGGUAACCGUAGGGGAACCUGCGGUUGGAUCAC